Long non-coding RNA from Papilio polytes (common Mormon), 708 nucleotides. RefSeq lists it as uncharacterized. NCBI's taxonomy places the organism in Eukaryota, Metazoa, Arthropoda, Insecta, Lepidoptera, Papilionidae. The record is from RefSeq and is a predicted model, not a curated record. The transcript is spliced from 4 exons.
CAGCCACAGACAUCGGGGAGUUCGGCCAGCGGUCAGGGGAUUUAAAACUGAAUUACAGGGAAAGGUCGGUAAUGAAAAAUUCCUGCACCCCGACAUCCCGUGUUGUUGUGUAAUGAAGACGGGAAUGUUAUGGCGCAGAUCUGUCCCGUGUUGCUGCCGUGAUUUUGUUAUUAACACAAAAAUAACAGAAAAUGUUAUUUGAAAAUUGAUAACAUAUAUUAUCAAACCUUUACACUUAUCAGUAGAUUGAAUAAAAUUUAUAUACAUAAAGCUAAUUAUAAUCGAAAAAGGGGAAAAGAUUACAGAAUACCGUAAACAUAAUAAUUUAAUUCCCCACCCGCGGCUGUGUGGGGGAUUACGGAGCAAUUUUACAUUUUUCGCUGACGAAAAUAGAAAUAAGGUCGGUACAAAAUCGUGGAGCAAUUUUUAACGAGAACCAGUAAUGGGCCUAACAGUAGCCCGCGGCUUGCGGGGCCGGGCGCAGCAACCAGCGACACACUCGCACCUGCAGAGUUAACAUGAUGUCCUUCUCUACCUAACAUAGCUCACAUUAGAGUCCAGUGAAAAGCCGAUCCUUAAGCAGGUAUCAGGUAAACUGGCCGAGACAUUUAGUUUUGCGCGGCGGCUGUCGGUGGCUGUCGGCGGCUGACGACGUAGUGCUGAGUCACGGGCCGCUUGUUAUGGAAACUACGUCGCGUCCAUUUUGCC